UUCAUUACAAGGGGCCAGAGUUCUGUGGCAGAACCCUUGCUAAGUAACUACUUGGCACUGGGUUGGAUCCCCAGAAAUGAAGGAAAAGAGAGUUCCUGCCAGCUGUCAGAGAUCUCUUUAGCCGUCCAUCUUCCAGCAGCUUUCCAGGACAUUGUGUGUGAUCCAGGAAGAUUGUGGUCAUUCACAAGCCGAGGAGAGAGACCUGGGAAGAGCCAGCUCUACUGACAUUCUGACCUUGGACUUUGUCCUCGGAACUGUCCAGUCAAGGAGCCAGCCUUCCCUUCGCAGAGGUCCCUGGGAGCCGCAGUGCUGGGCUGAGUCUCUCUGCUGCUGCUGACAGUGCUGUGCUGGUUUGGUUACUAGGAGUCUGUAAUGAGUCUUAAAAUCAGGAAUCAU
Nannospalax galili (Upper Galilee mountains blind mole rat) is the source of this 396-nucleotide long non-coding RNA. RefSeq lists it as uncharacterized. The transcript is spliced from 3 exons. NCBI's taxonomy places the organism in Eukaryota, Metazoa, Chordata, Mammalia, Rodentia, Spalacidae. The record is from RefSeq and is a predicted model, not a curated record.